UCACCGGAUCAAAGCAUACACAAAACCAUGGUAGAAACGAAAGUCACAACGAUGGAGAUUAAGGUGGUUGACCUAGGAUGCGAAAAAUGCCACAAGAAAAUCAAGAGAGUACUGUGUGCUAUCCCUCAGAAAUCCAGAACCAGAUAUAUGACAAGAAGGCAAACAAAGUGACAAUCACUGUGGUGUGUUGCUGUCCUGAAACGAUCAAGAAAAAAUUAUACUGC
Molecule: long non-coding RNA, 224 nt
Organism: Populus euphratica (Euphrates poplar)
Lineage: Eukaryota; Viridiplantae; Streptophyta; Magnoliopsida; Malpighiales; Salicaceae
Exons: 3
Source: RefSeq, a predicted model, not a curated record